UACGUAGGGGGGCUAGCGUUGUCCGGAAUCAUUGGGCGUAAAGAGCGUGUAGGCGGUCCGGUAAGUCCGCUGUGAAAGUCGAGGGCUCAACCCUCGAAUGCCGGUGGAUACUGUCGGGCUUGAGUACGGGAGAGGCGAGUGGAAUUCCUGGUGUAGCGGUGAAAUGCGCAGAUAUCAGGAGGAACACCGAUUGCGAAGGCAGCUCGCUGGAACGUUACUGACGCUGAGACGCGAAAGCGUGGGGAGCAAACAGG
This 254-nucleotide ribosomal RNA is filed under the name uncultured bacterium. Its description in RNAcentral is "partial 16S ribosomal RNA". It matches the Rfam family "Bacterial small subunit ribosomal RNA", at positions 524 to 776 of the family's 1533-position model. The record is from RNAcentral.